Molecule: unclassified non-coding RNA, 4992 nt
Filed under: Leishmania donovani
Lineage: Eukaryota; Euglenozoa; Kinetoplastea; Trypanosomatida; Trypanosomatidae
Description: gene:LdHU3.34.0290(CDS-product:hypothetical_prote in_conserved)
Source: RNAcentral
CCCCCCCCACGCGUCAUCUACGUGCUAUCAUCACGAGUUCUUUUGGCAAACUAGUUUCACUGCUCCCCUCCCCCUUACCCAUCGCUGUGUAUCUGUCGUCGUCACCAUCGGGCCCGAUACGCACAGUUUCCGUUAGCACACGCACUCGUCUUCCGCGGCGUGCGUCAUCAUGUCGUCGCCGUUCUUUGGCGAACUGCGAAAGACACUUCACAAUAGAUCGUACAGCUCCUGCGACUCGCUGCCUCGCCAUGCUGCAUCCCCGCCACGUCACGCGCAGUACGUGGAAGCCGACAGGGCAGCGCCAUCCUUAUCGAAGAGCCCCACCUUUUCAUCCGCCCCGCCGUCGCCAAAGUGCCCUGUGCCAUGCACGCAUACCAUGUCGCACACAAACAGCACCGUGCCGUCCAGCAAGCUUCCUUUCAGCAACAGUGUAACCGGCAACGGAGCAGUGUUGAUAGGAACGCUUGCAUCAUUCGACUCUGAGGCUCCAAGAGGCAGGCCAGCCUCCGCUGUUGAAGAUGGUGUCGCGAGCGGCAGCAGCAGCGGCCUCUCGCGUGCCGCCGUGCUGAUGAGCGGCCGCGGUGACGCAUCUCCGCCCUUUUCUCCGCAGCCAUCUGGCUCUGUUCUAGCAGUCUUCUGCCCCCUCACUUCAAAGGCUUGGCAGUCGGGCACCCUACGCGACGGCAUCGCAUUCGACGCGGACACGACGUCUAAAGUUAGCACUAUAUCCCCGCAAACAGGUCUGCAAUCGCCAUUCCUCUUUUCGUCUGGCUGGUCGCAGCAGAGCGUCUCGGCAGCGGCACAAGGCACGCCACCCUCCUUCGUGGGUACGCCGGGGCAAUCCCUCAUCAGCGCUGGGGCUGAAGGCGACGACGCCGAAGACAUGCCGCACAGCUGCGGCGCCAUGUAUUCCCCCAACCACUCUGUGAGCCUCUUGCCGGCACCCAAAGCUUUCGUGCCGGUCUGCCCCGUGCAGUCGCCGGAGCCUUUUGCGACGAAAUUCACCGGCUCGCCUGUCUUCGAGGUUUCUCUUACGACACCGCCAAGCAUCAGGGCGCCGCGGACGGGGGCGGCGAGGGGGGCCGGCGCCACGCCAACUCAGUCCUCGUGCUUGCCGUCGGAGUCGUUGGAGCAGUAUUCGCUGUUGCGGUCUCCGAUACUCCACUCGUUGACACCGCUAUCCAUCUCACCCAGUGCACCUCUCUCACCGGGGUUUGGCUGCAUUAUGGGGACUGAGCAGACGCAAAGUCGACUCUCGCGCCAUCGUCUAGCAGCUUCAGCCGGGUCCGAACAGCUUCCUGUGAGAACGAGCACCGAGAUGCGAUCGCGCGGAUCCGCGGUUGCGUCGCCGCCGUCCGCUGCUGUGCCGUCCGUAAACAGUAAUCAUGAAACACUCAAUGAUCGUCUCGUCUCACCCGCGCGGCGCAGCUAUCGCUGCCCACUGCCCAGCUCGAAUGAGGCAUCGCUCUCGUCGUUCUUCGCAGUGUACGAUGCAGGGCUCCACGCUAACCUUUCGAUGGCCCAGGCGAGCGAAGAGGAUGCGGCGCAUCGAGCCACCAGCGCCACUCUUCCCCGCGUCUGUUCAUCCAAAGACACGGAAGCGGAAGAAGGCGUUGCCGCCGCCCUUGCUCCUGACACCACGGAUGACCCUUUUGAAGCCUUCAGGGAUAUUUUGCCUGCAGCGCAGUGGGGCAGCAGCGUCACAGAGAUGCCGCCUCACAUCACGACAUCAUCAGCGCCGUUCGAAACGGGGUCUGCGUUCCACAGCGUCACUGCCUUCGCGUCAGAGGCCCAUGAGAAAGACAACCAUCCAAGCGAAGAGCUCAACCAGAGCAACCGCCUUUCCUGUUUUUUCAUGGAGAGGCAUCGCAGUACCAUAGCGCAUCGACCCUCAGCGGCACAGCAGCGCAACUCAGUUAACAGAUCCGUCGAUACGCAGCGUACGGCAAGCAAGGCGAUGACGCUGCAGCAACGCCAGCGACGUUUCUCCCUGCAACAGGAGGACAGCAUUGAAAUCAAGCGAAGGGGCUACGCGUGAAAGCACGUGUGCCCCGCAGCGCUGCUCUAUUCACUGGCCCCCCCCUCCUCCUCCCCUCUUCCCUGUCUUUGACUGCCUUACGCGAGUUUCUUUUCUGUUUUUUUUUUUUGGCCUCUUCCCUUUUGCGUUGUUUGCUUUACCCGUUGGCACACCUGAGCGUUUUCUUUGCUCUCCUCUGGCGUCUGUGGUUUCGCGUCCACCACCCUUUUCCCUCCCUUUCAUAUAGCGCCUUUCGUGUGUGCAUGUGCUGGAAACGCGACCUGUCGCUCCUGUUGAAUAGCUCUCUCCUUCCCUCUGCAUCCACUUCCUCCGUCAGGUGCGCCUCUCUCUCCCGGUGUAUGCGCAGAUGAGAAGUGGGUGUAUGGGGGUAUGGGAGCAAGGACGUGACGGGCAGACGGUGCCGAGCGACAUAGAUGUCGCCCCCCUCCCUCCCUCUCCUUUCCUCUCCUCCCCAACACGUUUUUCUUGCUGGUUGCGGUGUGGCCGCGCUCCUCUCGAAGGCGUUUGUUUGCUCUUCAGCAUCAUCCCUUUGUUGUGUUUCUCGGCUACUGUUUAUCUUGGCUUGACGAGAACCGAUGACCUCACACGGCUUUCUCUUCCCGUUUUUUCGCUGUUCUCGCUUCUUGUGUUGCACAUGAGUCGAGAUGUACACGGAGCCGUCACUGCCGCAGAGCUUCUCUACUUGGUCGUCGCCAGCACCUCCUCUUUCUGUUAAGAGGCAGAGGAGUGCAGGCGUGUGUUGCGCACAUGUGGCGUGCAGCGACACCCCCUCGCCCCUUCGGAAAAAAGGGGGAGACAUCAACGGAGAAAACCACAACGCAAAAGAAAUGCCUCUGCUUGACGCAGCAGCAGCAGUCGCGGAUUCGCAACACCGCUUUUUCUCACUCUCCUUCGCUCUUUCUUGCUUUGUUUUUCUCUGAAGCGUUGCGCUUUCCUUUGUUUUCAUGGUUUGUCUGUCCGCGUGUCUGCGUGUGCGUGCGCGGCAUAUAAGCAAGGAUUGCAGGGGUGCCUCGGUUUACUUUGCGUGUGUCUGCGUCAACGAACAAGCAGCUCUGUGUGUUCCUUUUCGGCCUUCGCGUGACUUUUUGGGUCUCGGACGAUGGGGAGGUUCGCUGGCGGAUGAUAGUGCUGGUGGUGUACAUCGUCGUGGAUAACCUCGUGUCUCCUCGGCUGGUCGCGUUUUUUCACUCAUCGCCGUUGAGUCGCCCUGUGUAUGUCGCCUCUUUUUGUGUUUGUUUUCGUUGUUCUUCUCUUCGCUUGGCCGCCCCUCCUGGGAUAUCUACUCAUGUACGUGUGUGCCGCUUCUCCCCGAAAAUGUGUGCUGCGUGCUGUAUGGGCCUUUUCACCUCUACUAUGCGUGCUUUCACUUCGUCAGCUCCUCCGAUUUGGUCCGCGUUUUUCCGCUGCGCGGCUUUUCGUUUCUCUCGAGUUUAUUUUGCGUUUUUGUUUUGUUUUCUAACGCGCUCAAUCAACGCGGUGCUUAUGUAUGUAAGCAGGUGGUAGAGAGAGAUUGGAGGUGAGGGAGUCGCACCCUGUUACAACGGCAGCCCCCCUCCCCCUUCUCAGGCGAGCACAAGAGUCCACACAGACUCACACAGCUUACCAACGCAGUGGCACACGCAUGAAAUUGAAGAAACGAAGCGUCAGCUGAGGUUCUUCAGAGGUGCACACGCGUCACGGUGCGCGCUCCAGGUAUUGAGAUGCGGCCACGCGCGCCUCUGCUGUCGCUCUUUUUGCUUAAUUUCUCCUGUGGUGCUUUUUUGUUUUGCUUUGUGCGUGUGCGUGUGCGUGUGUGUGUGUGCGUGUAUCGCUUCUGUUUACUUCGUUGCUUAUUGUCGCCUCCUUGCGUGUGGGUCUUUCCUCAUCACCGGCGCACGUCUGCUCGCCCUCUGUGUGCGUGUGUGUCCCUCUUUUUUUUGUUGCGUUGUGCGCUUUACGUGGCAGCGCGUGUGCGCGCCCGCUGUGUAUGGCUCCCUUUCGCGUUUGUCUGUGGGUGGAUCGUUUUCCGUAUGGGAGAUCACACGGUAACCCCACACGUUCCGCUCGUGUGGAUCACGAGGGGCUUAAAUCCAAACAUAAAAUUAAAAAAAAAGAAACGACGCGUGCCAGAUGGAGAGGUGCGACCUGCGGAUCUCGCUCGCAAAAGAGAGGGAGCGGGUAACGCGGCGGGGGGGAGCAACAGCGAAGACGUGCGCUCCGAUGUCUUCCGAAACCGACGCGGCAACCUUUGCUUCCGUAUGUCGGAAAGGUCUCGUUUCACGUGGGCGUUUUGGGGCGUUUGCGCUUUGAGCUGAUGCCGUGCGACCGCUUUUUUCUCUUGUCUCACGCCACCCUCUGCCAUUAGACGCAGCUCACAAGUCGAACGUAUCCACCUCUCACAGAUGCGGCCCUGUGCCUUUCUCUUUUCUUCCUUUUUUUUCUUCCCCCCCCCCCCGACUUUGCUCGCACGCUUCUACGGACCCCUGCCUUGUCCCCUCUCUCUCUGCGCCGCCACAUGUCACAACUCUGUGCUCUCCCAUUAGCGUCUCGACUUUCGCUCGCUAAUAUGCCGCCUCUCUCCAGAUCCUCCUCCUUCGUCUCCCCUGCACCCCGCGCGCACAUGUGCGAGCUUCACCCCCUCCCUUCCUCUUCAUUCCUGUCUGUCUGCCAGUGUGCGUGUGUCAUGUGCCCGCGAAGGGGGCGGGGGUGAUGGGGGGCGAGGUGCUGAUAGAGACGACUUGAUGUCUGAGUUUUUUUUUGGGAUUUUAAACGUUUCCUUUUCGAGUUUGUGCGUGUGUAUUGUGUUGCGUUGCGUUGCGUUGCUCUCUCCUCCUCUCGCUAUCGGCAUGCGCUCCCGCUGCACGUCUUCUCUUCUCGUUUCUUCAAGUUUGCAUGCUUGAGUCUCGCCUUGUCUUGCUCUCCCCCCGUUUGCUGCGUUCCGCUCUCUCUUCGCGUCUUUGCGUCGGUCGCGCAAC